RNAcentral lists this unclassified non-coding RNA (379 nucleotides) under uncultured bacterium. Its description in RNAcentral is "contains 16S-23S intergenic spacer region". The record is from RNAcentral.
UCCGGCUUGACGCCGGCAGUCUCCUUAGAGUGCCCAACUGAAUGAUGGCAACUAAGGACAAGGGUUGCGCUCGUUGCGGGACUUAACCCAACAUCUCACGACACGAGCUGACGACAGCCAUGCAGCACCUGUGUUGCGGUUCCCUUUCGGGCACCCCUGCAUUUCUGCAGGGUUCCGCACAUGUCAAGGGUAGGUAAGGUUUUUCGCGUUGCAUCGAAUUAAUCCACAUCAUCCACCGCUUGUGCGGGUCCCCGUCAAUUCCUUUGAGUUUUAGCCUUGCGGCCGUACUCCCCAGGCGGGGUGCUUAAUGCGUUAGCUUCGGCACGGACGGAGUCGACACCGCCCACACCUAGCACCCAUCGUUUGCGGCGUGGACUAC